RNAcentral lists this ribosomal RNA (443 nucleotides) under uncultured bacterium. RNAcentral's name for it is "partial 16S ribosomal RNA". It matches the Rfam family "Bacterial small subunit ribosomal RNA", at positions 338 to 795 of the family's 1533-position model. The record is from RNAcentral.
ACUACGGGUGGCUGCAGUGGGGAAUAUUGGGCAAUGGGCGCAAGCCUGACCCAGCAACGCCGCGUGAAGGAAGAAGGCUCUCGGGUUGUAAACUUCUUUUCUCAGGGACGAAGCAAGUGACGGUACCUGAGGAAUAAGCCACGGCUAACUACGUGCCAGCAGCCGCGGUAAUACGUAGGUGGCAAGCGUUAUCCGGAUUUAUUGGGUGUAAAGGGCGUGUAGGCGGGAGCGCAAGUCAGAUGUGAAAACUCAGGGCUCAACCCUGAGCCUGCAUUUGAAACUGUGUUGCUUGAGUGCUGGAGAGGCAAUCGGAAUUCGGUGUGUAGCGGUGAAAUGCGUAGAUAUACGGAGGAACACCAGUGGCGAAGGCGGAUUGCUGGACAGUAACUGACGCUGAGGCGCGAAAGCGUGGGGAGCAAACAGGAUUAGAUACCCGAGUAGUC